UGGGGAAUUUUGGACAAUGGGGGAAACCCUGAUCCAGCCAUCCCGCGUGUGCGAUGAAGGCCUUCGGGUUGUAAAGCACUUUUGGCAGGAAAGAAACGUCAUGGGUUAAUACCCCGUGAAACUGACGGUACCUGCAGAAUAAGCACCGGCUAACUACGUGCCAGCAGCCGCGGUAAUACGUAGGGUGCAAGUGUUAAUCGGAAUUACUGGGCGUAAAGCGUGCGCAGGCGGUUCGGAAAGAAAGAUGUGAAAUCCCAGAGCUCAACUUUGGAACUGCAUUUUUAACUGCCGGGCUAGAGUGUGUCAGAGGGAGGUGCGAUUCCGCCUGUAGCAGUGAAAUGCGUAGAUAUGCGGAGGAACACCGAUGGCGAAGGCAGCCUCCUGGGAUAACACUGACGCUCAUGCACGAAAGCGUGGGUAGCAAACAGG
RNAcentral lists this ribosomal RNA (429 nucleotides) under Acidobacteriota bacterium. RNAcentral describes it as "Acidobacteria bacterium partial 16S ribosomal RNA". It matches the Rfam family "Bacterial small subunit ribosomal RNA", at positions 355 to 776 of the family's 1533-position model. The record is from RNAcentral. Lineage: Bacteria; Pseudomonadati; Acidobacteriota.